GCUACGGGAGGCAGCAGUGAGGAAUAUUGGUCAAUGGACGCAAGUCUGAACCAGCCAAGUAGCGUGCAGGAUGACGGCCCUCCGGGUUGUAAACUGCUUUUAGUUGGGAAUAAAAGGGGGCUCGUGAGCCCCGUAGUGUAUGUACCAUCAGAAAAAGCCCCGGCAAACUACGUGCCAGCAGCCGCGGUAAUACGUAGGGGGCAAGCUUUAUCCGGAUUUAGUGGGUGUAAAGGGAGCGUAGAGGGUGCGUCAAGUCUGGAGUGAAAUGCUGCAGCUUAACUGCGGAAUUGCUAUUGAUACUGGCGAACUUGAGUACAGGUGGGGUAAGCGGAAUUCGUAGUGUAGCGGUGAAAUGCGUAGAUAUCAGGAGGAACCCCGGUGGCGAAGGCAGCUUACUGAACCGUAACUGACGUUGAGGCUCGAAAGCGUGGGGAGCAAACAGGAUUAGAUACCCCAGUAGUC
Molecule: ribosomal RNA, 462 nt
Filed under: uncultured bacterium
Lineage: Bacteria
Description: partial 16S ribosomal RNA
Rfam family: Bacterial small subunit ribosomal RNA
Source: RNAcentral